AUCAUAUUCCCAUUCCAUUUACAGUUUAUAAUCGAACCAUAUUCCUUUCUUCUCUUCUAUUUCUUGUUUUCUGUUUUUUAUUUUUUUUAUUUUAAAAUCUGAGUGUUGAACCGGUCCGGUUUUGUAAACCGGCCGAUUCACCGGUUUUUACCGGUUUCCGCCGAGCCAUGUCGGUUUACACCGGUUUGAUUGCAUGGCCGAUCCAAUAAAUAGAUUGAACCGGACACCCCACCGG
This 235-nucleotide long non-coding RNA is filed under the name Medicago truncatula (barrel medic). RNAcentral describes it as "long non-coding RNA (MTRU_LNC005132)". Lineage: Eukaryota; Viridiplantae; Streptophyta; Magnoliopsida; Fabales; Fabaceae. The record is from RNAcentral.